UCCAAAAUAUUCUGCCAGUUGUUCC
Molecule: non-coding RNA, 25 nt
Filed under: Mus musculus (house mouse)
Lineage: Eukaryota; Metazoa; Chordata; Mammalia; Rodentia; Muridae
Source: RNAcentral